RNAcentral lists this long non-coding RNA (217 nucleotides) under Elaeis guineensis (African oil palm). Its description in RNAcentral is "long non-coding RNA (EGUI_LNC024286)". Lineage: Eukaryota; Viridiplantae; Streptophyta; Magnoliopsida; Arecales; Arecaceae. The record is from RNAcentral.
AUUGGUUCAAUUAGCAUAAUUCUCCAUGUGCAUUGCAUAUAUAUUUUACUAUAGAAUUUAAAAGCUAACAACCACCAAGAUAGUGGCAAAAGGGAUUAUAUUGGUAGUUGGCAGAAGUCUCAAAGUAAUGUUGUUGGCUCCGUUUACAUUAAUAUUGUUCAGAUAUAUGAGAAACAUUAUUUAACACGUAAGAUAGAGUCUUUUGAAAAAAUAAAGG